This 77-nucleotide transfer RNA is filed under the name Sterolibacterium denitrificans. Its description in RNAcentral is "tRNA-Arg". It matches the Rfam family "tRNA". From Rfam's summary of the family: Transfer RNA (tRNA) molecules are approximately 80 nucleotides in length. Their secondary structure includes four short double-helical elements and three loops (D, anti-codon, and T loops). Further hydrogen bonds mediate the characteristic L-shaped molecular structure. tRNAs have two regions of fundamental functional importance: the anti-codon, which is responsible for specific mRNA codon recognition, and the 3' end, to which the tRNAs corresponding amino acid is attached (by aminoacyl-tRNA synthetases). tRNAs cope with the degeneracy of the genetic code in two manners: having more than one tRNA (with a specific anti-codon) for a particular amino acid; and 'wobble' base-pairing, i.e. permitting non-standard base-pairing at the 3rd anti-codon position. The record is from RNAcentral. RNAcentral also lists the same sequence under 5 other names. Lineage: Bacteria; Pseudomonadati; Pseudomonadota; Betaproteobacteria; Nitrosomonadales; Sterolibacteriaceae.
GCGCCUGUAGCUCAGUUGGAUAGAGUACUGCCCUCCGAAGGCAGGGGUCGGACGUUCGAAUCGUCUCAGGCGCGCCA